UGGGGAAUAUUGCACAAUGGGCGCAAGCCUGAUGCAGCCAUGCCGCGUGUGUGAAGAAGGCCUUCGGGUUGUAAAGCACUUUCAGCGAGGAGGAAGGCGUUAAGGUUAAUAACCUUAGCGAUUGACGUUACUCGCAGAAGAAGCACCGGCUAACUCCGUGCCAGCAGCCGCGGUAAUACGGAGGGUGCAAGCGUUAAUCGGAAUUACUGGGCGUAAAGCGCACGCAGGCGGUUUGUUAAGUCAGAUGUGAAAUCCCCGAGCUUAACUUGGGAACUGCAUUUGAAACUGGCAAGCUAGAGUCUUGUAGAGGGGGGUAGAAUUCCAGGUGUAGCGGUGAAAUGCGUAGAGAUCUGGAGGAAUACCGGUGGCGAAGGCGGCCCCCCUGGACAAAGACU
This 395-nucleotide ribosomal RNA is filed under the name uncultured bacterium. RNAcentral describes it as "partial 16S ribosomal RNA". It matches the Rfam family "Bacterial small subunit ribosomal RNA", at positions 355 to 741 of the family's 1533-position model. The record is from RNAcentral.